AUACAGAGGGUGCGAGCGUUAAUCGGAAUUACUGGGCGUAAAGCGCGCGUAGGCGGCUUGGUCAGUCGGAUGUGAAAGCCCUGGGCUCAACCUGGGAAUUGCAUUCGAUACUGCCAAGCUAGAGUAUGGGAGAGGGAAGUGGAAUUUCCGGUGUAGCGGUGAAAUGCGUAGAUAUCGGAAAGAACACCAGUGGCGAAGGCGACUUCCUGGCCCAAUACUGACGCUGAGGUGCGAAAGCGUGGGGAGCGAACAGGAUUAGAUACCCCAGUAGUCC
RNAcentral lists this ribosomal RNA (274 nucleotides) under uncultured bacterium. RNAcentral describes it as "partial 16S ribosomal RNA". It matches the Rfam family "Bacterial small subunit ribosomal RNA", at positions 523 to 796 of the family's 1533-position model. The record is from RNAcentral.